UUUCCGUUCACUCAGGCCGCGGGGAGGCCGGUCCCAUGUCUGCAUCAGCCCGCCACUGAGAUGCCUGCCCCUUUGGAUCAGUCAUGGCCUAGGGGUGUUUCACCAAUUUAGCAAAACUGGGCUGUUAAUUGGCUCUCAGCUAGACAGACCCGAUAUUUUGGUACCAGUUUCUGGCGACCCAGAUGGGACUCUCCUAGCUCGGACAUUGGACUCCAGAUGGCUACGGCGAACUAGGAGCGGCGCCACUGGGGUGCUUAACCCCUCUUCCUCACUUCUCCGCGCUCCUGGGGUUCGUGAUCCGAUAAGAUCUUAUGAACUGGCAAAACACUACGCCUCGGCUUAGAGACGACCCGGAUGUCAUUCACAGGCGAUUCCGUGCCAUUUUUCAAUCUCAUAAUCCUGAUUGGCAGGACGUGGGCCAACUUUUAGAUUGCCUACUGCGCAUGGAGGAGAAGGAGCGGGUCCUAAGGGGGGCCAGGGAGGCUGCGGAGGCUGCCGGUGAUGGACGCGAUAUUAUAGCUCUUACUAAUCCUACUCAAUGGAACCCGAAUGAUUCAGCCCAGCAGGCAAACUUAAAGAAAUUCCUAACCCAUAUUUUAACAAGUAUAAAACAAGCAAAAAAAAACCCCUCUAAAUUGGUCUAAAGUCCAUAAUACUGUGCAAGGGAAAGAAAAACACCCCUCUGACUUUUAUGAGAGACAUUGUAAAGCAUUUUGUACUUUUACUAAUAUAGACCCCAAGGCUGCGGACACACAGUCCACGGUCAGGCUUAUUUUUAUCUCACAGUCAGCUCCGAAUAUUAAGAAGCGAUUGCAGCAGCUCGAGGGGGCUAAGGGAAAAUCUCUGGAAGAACUGGUAAGCAUAGCCACCUGGGUGUAUCACACAAGAAAUAAAGUUCAAGAGACCAAGCAAGUAAAAAUGCUAGCAGCCCUUGUAAACGUGGGAAGUAAAAAACAAGGUGGAAGGGGGGAACCCCUCAGGUGGCAACCGAAAGUGGAUAAGGGGGGGGCCCAAGCCAUGCUAAUAAAAUAUGUCAUUCUGUAAGCAACUUGGUCACUGGAAAAGAGAGUGCCCAAACCGACGCACCCGACUACAGCCCCGACCUAAAUAUCAGAUGGCUGUGGACAGAACAGACGCUGUCAAUAAUAAGGAAUGACGGCGACCCGGGGGUUCACAUGUUACCUAUUCGAAUGACUUUACCACUUAUGUUUGUUCCUCUACUGACCCCCAGGUCCGUUUAACUUUGGGAGGAACCAUUUAUUCUUGUCUUUUGGACUCUGGGGCUGCCCUUCCCACUGUUACUGCUAAGCCAAAAGAAAAAAACCUUACAAAUAAAAGCAUUCCAGUAAUGGGUAUAGGCAAAAAGCCAUUUAAGUGUCCUGUAUUGCAGGAGGCUGCUGUAGAAAUUUCUGGUGUCUCAGCCUCCCAUGCAUUUUUGCUGGCUCCUGACAGCCCAGUUAAUCUUUUGGGCAAAGACUUGCUGUGUAAAUUAUGUGCUCAGAUUUUCUUUACAAAUAAUAAAAUCAUUCUUUGAUUGCCUCAGAAUCAGCUCCCCUAGCUAAGUGCCACAUUAACCCAGGCUGCCGAGGACCCGAUUCUGCCUGAACAACUCAGACAAGAGGUACAUGCCUCCCUGUGGGGCACUUCCAAAACAGACCUUGGAACCCUCCAGACGGAGCCUGUACAAAUAACCCUAAAGCAAAACAUUGACAUUCCUCGAAUCCGGCAGUUUUACACUUACCAAUCAAGUAUUAACACGCAAGGGUCUUUGUCUAAAUGUGUA
Molecule: long non-coding RNA, 1783 nt
Organism: Gopherus evgoodei (Goodes thornscrub tortoise)
Lineage: Eukaryota; Metazoa; Chordata; Testudines; Testudinidae
Exons: 3
Source: RefSeq, a predicted model, not a curated record